GGAAAAUUCACAGCUCCGUGGUUGGAACACCCAAAUCACUAAUCCACCAUCUGAUCACAAGCAACAUGGAUGUGCUUGAAAUGCUUAUGUGUGAAGGGCUGAUGCUGUGAUCUACCAAGAAAAAUACACUCCCUUGGUAUUGGAAGAAGAAAAGGAGUAAGUGAUCCAAAGUGAGGCUGGACAACCGGUGUUUGGACACCAAUAUCCAAGGUUCAUAGGUGUUAGAUUACAAACAUGCUCUACCACGCCUCCUUCACACAGGAUUUCUUGAUGCGGCAUUUUUGAAAACUCUCCUGGACAUAAGGACAUAAAGGCAUUUCUCUAUAGCACCUUCUACCUGGCUUAAGUAUUUUUCUCUUUUUAGGACAAACCAAUAUUAGUCUUCAAAAACCAUUGUCAUUUAUUUAAUUAAUUUUGUGGUGUUGGGCAUGAGAUCUAGAGCUUCAUGAGGUCCUAUGUCACUGAACUACAUCAUCAGAUAAAAUAAUUGUUUACAAUAUGACAAAAAUUAGUAAAUAUCUAACUUCUCUGAAUGCUCAAAGGAAGCAACAAACAAUCACCACAUUAUUAGAAAAUAGAAAUACAUUUUCA
Molecule: long non-coding RNA, 591 nt
Organism: Peromyscus eremicus (cactus mouse)
Lineage: Eukaryota; Metazoa; Chordata; Mammalia; Rodentia; Cricetidae
Exons: 3
Source: RefSeq, a predicted model, not a curated record